Molecule: ribosomal RNA, 253 nt
Filed under: uncultured archaeon
Lineage: Archaea
Description: partial 16S ribosomal RNA
Rfam family: Archaeal small subunit ribosomal RNA
Source: RNAcentral
AACCAGCACCUCAAGUGGUCAGGGGGAUUAUUGGGCCUAAAGCAUCCGUAGCCGGCUCUGUAAGUUUUCGGUUAAAUCCAUGUGCUCAACACAUAGGCUGCCGAAAAUACUGCAUAGCUAGGGAGUGGGAGAGGUAGACGGUACUCGGUAGGAAGGGGUAAAAUCCUUUGAUCUAUUGAUGACCACCUGUGGCGAAGGCGUCUGAUCAUAACGGCUUUGACGGUGAGGAACGAAGCCCUGGGGCGCAAACGGG